This 278-nucleotide long non-coding RNA is filed under the name Elaeis guineensis (African oil palm). RNAcentral describes it as "long non-coding RNA (EGUI_LNC077769)". Lineage: Eukaryota; Viridiplantae; Streptophyta; Magnoliopsida; Arecales; Arecaceae. The record is from RNAcentral.
GAGAUUUGAGUUUAGAUCUCUUUUAAAUCAGCAGAUUUGAUAUCUGACUGAUUAAAUUCAGAUUAGCACAUGAACAUAUCUAACCAGUCUAGUCGGUAUGGGUGAACUAGAGUCAACAAGUAAUCUAACACAAAACUAAAUCUCCCAAGAUGGCCAGGUAAGUUAAGAUGUGUGAGGGUCUCCCAGUUGCUUUUCUUAGACACCAAUCAAAAUUGAUCAAGUCAGAUAAUGGAACCAAUUAAAUAACCACCAUCUAAAUACUUGUCUUAGACACCAAA